CAAAUCCUAUCUUGCAGUUUCUGGUACCUGCAGAUGUGGUUUGCUUUAGGAGAAGAUGUGCGUGUUUGGGGUCAUAAUGUCAAUCAGUGCUAAAGAGAAAGAAGUGACUGACUGACUGAUCAAUGAAUAUGCAUGGAUCCAAACAAUAAAGCAGCUCCUGAUGGACUCUGAGGUUUUUACAAGUUACAUAUGCUCUGUGAAAUGAUGUCAAUGAACAGAAGACAACCAAGCCUGCUUUUCAUUUUCCUAACUCAUCCUUACAGUGUACCCUGUUUCACCUCCCAGCAAACUGGUUUGAUAAGACGAGACUGAUGGUCCAACUGAACCUGCAAAAACUGACAGAACUCCAAAUUGUACUGAACUUGUUCAAAGCAACUGGUACCCAGGAAGGUGGAGACUGCCCUACCUACAGGCCACUCUACCAGUUGGCCUCCAUCUGUUAUUCCAUGCACAUAACUAUGAGUGACCCUAUGAGAGUGUGUGUGUCUGAACUGUAUGUGGAUAUAUCUGGUGUGAAUUAUUAAUUAUUAUAAAGCUGUGGCUAAUACUGAAAGCUUGAGUCUAAUCAUAAUAUAAAUAUAUGCGAACUUAAGUAGUAAAAGGUGUUUUAAGAAAUAUAGGUUGUGAUCUGUCUCCCAAGUUUGAUCACCUACCAGAGAAAAUGGUACCUCUA
This is a non-coding RNA of Coturnix japonica (Japanese quail), 673 nucleotides long. Lineage: Eukaryota; Metazoa; Chordata; Aves; Galliformes; Phasianidae. The record is from RefSeq and is a predicted model, not a curated record.